UCUUUCAUAAAAUCUAGUGGUUAGGCCACAGUGCUCUCACCAUUGUGGCCUAGGUUCGAGUCCCAGCUAGGGAA
Molecule: non-coding RNA, 74 nt
Organism: Pangasius djambal
Lineage: Eukaryota; Metazoa; Chordata; Actinopteri; Siluriformes; Pangasiidae
Source: the annotation of a GenBank genome assembly